AAGUCGUAACAAGGUUUCCGUAGGUGAACCUGCGGAAGGAUCAUUACCAAAUCCAAAUACCCAACCCCUGUGAACCUGUCUUGUCUGUCUUUGGGGAGUGAGAAAGUAACAUUUUUCCUCCCCAUAUUUAAUAACUAAACAACUAUUUUCUUAUCUUUUUGGAAUAAACUUUUUUUAUUAAUUUAAUAAUAAAAGACAACUUUUAACGGUGGAUCUCUUGGCUCGUGGA
Molecule: unclassified non-coding RNA, 229 nt
Filed under: fungal sp.
Lineage: Eukaryota; Fungi
Description: partial internal transcribed spacer region
Rfam family: Eukaryotic small subunit ribosomal RNA (bases 1-46)
Source: RNAcentral